RNAcentral lists this ribosomal RNA (468 nucleotides) under uncultured bacterium. Its description in RNAcentral is "partial 16S ribosomal RNA". It matches the Rfam family "Bacterial small subunit ribosomal RNA", at positions 28 to 507 of the family's 1533-position model. The record is from RNAcentral.
GACGAACGCUGGCGGCGUGCUUAACACAUGCAAGUCGAACGGAACGGCCCUGCUUUUUUGGGGUUCUCGAGUGGCGAUCGGGUGUGUAACACGUGAGUAACCUUCCCUUUACUUUGUUAUACCUUCAGGAACCUGCGGCUAAUCCCUGAUAGUAUCUCCUGCUGCCUGGUGUGGUUUGGAACUUUUCGGCGGUUGGGGAUGGACUCGCGGCUUAUCAGCUUGUUGUUGGGGUAGUGGCUUACCAAGGCUUUGACGGGUAGCCGGCCUGAGAGGGUGACCGGGGAAAUGGGGACUGAGAGACGGAACAGAGUCGGACGGGAGGCAGCAGGGGGGAAGAGUGCACAAGGGGCGGAAGCCUGAUGAAGAAACGCCGCGGGCGGGAAGACGGCCUUCGGGGGGUAAACAGCUUGCGACUGAGAAGAAGAGUGAGUGACGGUAAUGGGUAAAGAAGCACCGGCUAACUACGUG